GAUGAACGCUGGCGGCGUGCCUAAUACAUGCAAGUAGAACGCUGAAGGAAGGAGCUUGCUCUUUCCGGAUGAGUUGCGAACGGGUGAGUAACGCGUAGGUAACCUGCCUGGUAGCGGGGGAUAACUAUUGGAAACGAUAGCUAAUACCGCAUAACAGUAGAUGUUGCAUGAUAUCUACUUAAAAGGUGCAAUUGCACCACUACCAGAUGGACCUGCGUUGUAUUAGCUAGUUGGUGAGGUAACGGCUCACCAAGGCGACGAUACAUAGCCGACCUGAGAGGGUGAUCGGCCACACUGGGACUGAGACACGGCCCAGACUCCUACGGGAGGCAGCAGUAGGGAAUCUUCGGCAAUAGACGGAAGUCUGACCGAGCAACGCCGCGUGAGGGAAGAAGGUUUUCGGAUAGUAAAGCUCUGUUGUAAGAGAAGAACGAGUGUGAGAGUGGAAAGUUCACACUGUGACGGUAUCUUACCAGAAAGGGACGGCUAACUACGUG
This 497-nucleotide ribosomal RNA is filed under the name uncultured bacterium. RNAcentral describes it as "partial 16S ribosomal RNA". It matches the Rfam family "Bacterial small subunit ribosomal RNA", at positions 28 to 507 of the family's 1533-position model. The record is from RNAcentral.